GAUGAAGAACGUAGCGAAAUGCGAUACUUGGUGUGAAUUGCAGAAUCCCGUGAACCAUCGAGUCUUUGAACGCAAGUUGCGCCCGAAGCCAUUAGGCCGAGGGCACACCUGCCUGGGCGUCACACGUCGUUGCCCCCCCAUCUACUCCUUCGGGAUUGCGGGGGGCGGAUGAUGGCCUCCCGUGCGCCUCGUCGCGCGGUUGGCAUAAAUGCCAAGUCCUCGGCGACGCACGCCACGACAAUCGGUGGUUGCGAAACCUCGGUUGCCCGUCGUGUGCGUUCGUCGCGCAUCGAGGGCUCGAAAAAAUGCUCGGCUCCGGCUGGGCUUUCAACGCGACCCCAGGUCAGGCGGGGUUACCCGCUGAAUUUAAGCAUAUCAAUAAGCGGAGGA
This 390-nucleotide unclassified non-coding RNA is filed under the name soil metagenome. RNAcentral describes it as "partial contains 5.8S ribosomal RNA, internal transcribed spacer 2, and large subunit ribosomal RNA". The stretch from base 1 to 122 matches the Rfam family "5.8S ribosomal RNA", at positions 35 to 154 of the family's 154-position model. The record is from RNAcentral.